This is a long non-coding RNA of Triplophysa dalaica, 190 nucleotides long. RefSeq lists it as uncharacterized. The record is from RefSeq and is a predicted model, not a curated record. The transcript has 3 exons. Lineage: Eukaryota; Metazoa; Chordata; Actinopteri; Cypriniformes; Nemacheilidae.
GGAGCUUUGUAAGGACAAUUACACUUUGAGGCUUAUGGUUAUGAAUUUGAACACAGAUAAAGGCAGGUCCUUUAUUUCUACAUAUAAUGGCAGAAGGAGAACUUUCCUCACCAUAUUGUGUAUGUGGUGGAUUGUUUGUGGAGCACAAACAUCCACAACUGAGACUCCAACUACAACAACGGAGGCUCCA